This 284-nucleotide ribosomal RNA is filed under the name Escherichia coli. RNAcentral's name for it is "partial 16S ribosomal RNA". It matches the Rfam family "Bacterial small subunit ribosomal RNA", at positions 1 to 281 of the family's 1533-position model. Lineage: Bacteria; Pseudomonadati; Pseudomonadota; Gammaproteobacteria; Enterobacterales; Enterobacteriaceae. The record is from RNAcentral.
AAAUUGAAGAGUUUGAUCAUGGCUCAGAUUGAACGCUGGCGGCAGGCCUAACACAUGCAAGUCGAACGGUAACAGGAAGAAGCUUGCUUCUUUGCUGACGAGUGGCGGACGGGUGAGUAAUGUCUGGGAAACUGCCUGAUGGAGGGGGAUAACUACUGGAAACGGUAGCUAAUACCGCAUAAUGUCGCAAGACCAAAGAGGGGGACCUUCAGGCCUCUUGCCAUCGGAUGUGCCCAGAUGGGAUUAGCUAGUAGGUGGGGUAACGGCUCACCUAGGCGACGAUC